CGUAGGGGGCUAGCGUUGUCCGGAAUCAUUGGGCGUAAAGAGCGUGUAGGCGGUCCGGUAAGUCCGCUGUGAAAGUCGGGGGCUCAACCCUCGAAUGCCGGUGGAUACUGUCGGGCUAGAGUGCGGAAGAGGCGAGUGGAAUUCCUGGUGUAGCGGUGAAAUGCGCAGAUAUCAGGAGGAACACCUAUUGCGAAGGCAGCUCGCUGGGACGUAACUGACGCUGAGACGCGAAAGCGUGGGGAGCAAACAGGAUUAGAUACCCUGGUAGUCCACGCUGUAAACGAUGGGCACUAGGUAUGGGGGGUGUCGACUCCCUCCGUGCCGAAGCUAACGCAUUAAGUGCCCCGCCUGGGGAGUACGGCCGCAAGGCUA
This 372-nucleotide ribosomal RNA is filed under the name uncultured organism. Its description in RNAcentral is "bacterial SSU rRNA". It matches the Rfam family "Bacterial small subunit ribosomal RNA", at positions 526 to 896 of the family's 1533-position model. The record is from RNAcentral.